AAGGAAUUAAGAAAAUAAAGAUUAGCUUCUAACUAAAUCUAUUAGCGGUUAAAUUCCGUUUAUUCCUUU
This 69-nucleotide transfer RNA is filed under the name Convexana sp. 1 JW-2022a. RNAcentral's name for it is "tRNA-Ser". Lineage: Eukaryota; Metazoa; Arthropoda; Insecta; Hemiptera; Cicadellidae. The record is from RNAcentral.